RNAcentral lists this long non-coding RNA (658 nucleotides) under Nicotiana benthamiana. RNAcentral describes it as "long non-coding RNA (NBEN_LNC018321)". Lineage: Eukaryota; Viridiplantae; Streptophyta; Magnoliopsida; Solanales; Solanaceae. The record is from RNAcentral.
AUUGCAGGGCAUGUUAAGUCAACAUGUGUGCCUUAGAAUCACUUUACAUCUGAAUGAUCAAAGAAUGAUUGUAGCUUUUACCAUAAAAGCAUUUCAAAUGCUCCACUAUACUUCAGAAAUAUUUUCUGAAGUCAUAGGGAAGUAAGCAUUUGGGGAAUUUUGACAAUGUUCAAAAAGCUACUUCAUAUAGGUACACAAAAGCAAAUACAAGUAUACAAAGAAACUUAGGAAAGACGGACAUAUGAGUACGAAUGUAGAGACAAGUAGAUAAUACUAUGUAAACAAGGUUAUUACUGGAGAUAUGAGAACAAACCCUGCCAUAAUACUUAGGAGCCCCUGAGAUUCAGAAGGUAAAAAUGCUUGAACCGCCAUGCACAUUCCCGAGGUUACUUACUUUAUAAGCAAAUGCAAAUGGAUAUUUUAAACCAAAAUUGAAAGGCAAAAAGGCAGUAACUAUUGAGCGUACUUACUUUAUUAGCAAAUACAAAUGGAUAUUUUAAAUCAAAAUUGAAAGGCGAAAAGGCAGUAACUAUCCAGAUGGAAAGAUAGAGAAACCCAAGCAGAUACCAAAGUAUGUAAUACAAGCUAGAGGAAGAGAAUCAUAAAGCACCUAAAUAAGCAAAAUACAGUGACUCUUAAUUUGGGUAGUAUAACAUUG